AGUGAACGCUGGCGGUAGGCCUAACACAUGCCAGUCGAACGGCAGCACAGUAAGAGCUUGCUCUUACGGGUGGCGAGUGGCGGACGGGUGAGGAAUACAUCGGAAUCUACUUUUUCGUGGGGGAUAACGUAGGGAAACUUACGCUAAUACCGCAUACGACCUACGGGUGAAAGCAGGGGAAAUUCGGACCUUGCGCGAUUGAAUGAGCCGAUGUCGGAUUAGCUAGUUGGCGGGGUAAAGGCCCACCAAGGCGACGAUCCGUAGCUGGUCUGAGAGGAUGAUCAGCCACACUGAAACUGAGACACGUUGCAGACUCCUACGGGAGGCACCAGUGGGGAAUAUUCGACAAUGGGCGCAAGCCUGAUCCAGCCAUACCGCGUGGGUAAAGAAGGCCUACGGGUUGUAAAGCCGUUUUGUUAGGAAAGAGAAGCUGCAGGUUAAUACCCUGCUGUACUGACGGUACCCAAUGUAUAAGCACCGGCUAACUUCGUG
Molecule: ribosomal RNA, 492 nt
Filed under: uncultured bacterium
Lineage: Bacteria
Description: partial 16S ribosomal RNA
Rfam family: Bacterial small subunit ribosomal RNA
Source: RNAcentral